RNAcentral lists this long non-coding RNA (802 nucleotides) under Salmo salar (Atlantic salmon). RNAcentral's name for it is "lncRNA (ENSSSAG00000114499.1)". The record is from RNAcentral. Lineage: Eukaryota; Metazoa; Chordata; Actinopteri; Salmoniformes; Salmonidae.
CACAGGGGUACCAGAAUGAUAGCGAUGCCACAAGGGAUGAUAAUGGCCAGAGCCCAGCCAGGAAAACCUCCACUUGUGGUAUUGAAAGGAGUGGUCAGCAAAAGAGUAGGAGGUGGUGUGGUAGCUUCUACAGUUGUCGUUGUGGGUGCUGCUGUUGUGGUGGUUGUAGCAGCUAUAUUUGUGGUUGUUGUAGCAGCUUUCGUUGUGGUUGUCGAAGGAGAUGGAGUUGUGGUUGUUGAAGGACCUGCCAUUGUAGUGGUUGUAGGAGCUACAGCUGUUUUAAUUAAUGCAGCAUUAUCAUCUGCAGUUGUAGGAGCUGCAGAUGCAGUUGUAAGAGUUGCAGCUGUAGGAGCUGCAGUUGCACUUGUAGGAGCUGCAGUUAUCAUAGUAGCUGCAAUUGUGGUUGUUCUAAGAGCUGUAGUUGUUGUCGUAGUAGAUGCUGCAGUUGUAGGGGUGGUAGGACCAAUGGUUGUUUUAGUAAGAGCUGAAUUGAUUGUCAUAGCAGCUUUUGUGGUGCUGGUUGAAGGAGCUACAGUUAUUGGAGUAAGAGCUUUAGUUGUUGUUGUAGGUAUGGUAGAUGUAGUGGUUGUAGCCGCAACAGUUGCUGUAGGAGCAACAGAUUUCAUUGUAGGUGCGGCUGAUGUAGGGGUCAUAAGAGCUAAAAAUGUUAUAGUAGGAGGUGCAGUUAUGGUUGUAGCUUUAGCUGCAGUUGUGGUUGUUGUAAGAGCUGCAGUUGUAGUUAUUGUAGCAGGUGCUGCAGUGGUUGUCGAAGUAGGUGACGAAGUUGUAGUGGUCGUAGGAG